UACGGGGGGGGCAAGCGUUGUUCGGAAUUACUGGGCGUAAAGGGCUCGUAGGCGGCCAACUAAGUCGGAUGUGAAAUCCCCAGGCUUAACCUGGGAACUGCAUCCGAUACUGGAUGGCUUGAAUCCGGGAGAGGGAUGCAGAAUUCCAGGUGUAGCGGUGAAAUGCGUAGAUAUCGGGAGGAACACCUGUGGCGAAAGCGGCGCACUGGACCACAACUGACGCUGAGGCGCGAAAGCCAGGGGAGCAAACGGG
This 253-nucleotide ribosomal RNA is filed under the name uncultured bacterium. RNAcentral's name for it is "partial 16S ribosomal RNA". It matches the Rfam family "Bacterial small subunit ribosomal RNA", at positions 524 to 776 of the family's 1533-position model. The record is from RNAcentral.